Molecule: long non-coding RNA, 10681 nt
Filed under: Triticum aestivum (bread wheat)
Lineage: Eukaryota; Viridiplantae; Streptophyta; Magnoliopsida; Poales; Poaceae
Description: long non-coding RNA (TAES_LNC023836)
Source: RNAcentral
GCGAGAAUCCUAGAAGAGACCGUUCCUUCCAAGGAGGAGCACCAGCCCGAGGUGCCACCGCUUCCCAAGGUAGAACUGCCACCGUUCCCGGAAGUGCACCUGCCACCUAAGCCUGAACUUCCCAAGGUGGAGCUGCCGCCGCUCCCCAAAGUGCACUUGCCAUCUAAGCCUGAGUUGCCCAAGGUGGAGCUGCCACCUAAGCCGGAGCUGCCCAAGGUGGAGCUGCCAACGUUUCCGGAGGUUCACCUGCCACCCAAGCCGGAGAUGCCCACUGUUCCCGGGUUCCACCUCCCGGAGCCGGAGGCCAAGCCAUGAGAACUGCCUUAUCAAUAUUGUUGCCUUGUUGUACCUCCUCUGCUCCUCGUACAUGUACCUAUUGUCGUGUCGUGUCGAUGAUCUGAUUGUUUAGUUGUGGUUUUCAGUGAGUGUUGUGAGUGAUCUGCUCAUAUGUUGGUAUAUAUGAGAAAUAUAUAUUUUGUUCUCACAAUUACCCUUUUCUCGUAAGAGCGCUUCUUAAGUAUGCAUACUUCCUUACAACAAUUUUCACAGCAAGCUUUGAUAAAACAUAAAAGCCCAAAUAUUUUUUCUUCGACCUCAAGCCGUCCUAGCUUUAACAGCUGAUAUUUACAAACCACACAUUGUUGUUGAGUUUGCUUCAAAAGUACUGAUGCUUGAGAGGUAUGCUUGAGUAAGAGGGUAUCUGAGGGAUGUCCCAAAAUCACACGGUUCUGGGUGCGUGGGCGUGGUAGCUCACUUCCCAAGGUGGAGCUGCCGCCGGUCCUGGAGGUGCACCUGCCACCUAAGCCUGAGCUGCCCAAGGUGGAGUUGCCGCCAGUCCCGGAGGUGCACAUGCCACCUAAGCCGGAGCUGCCCAAGGUGGAGCUGCCAACAUUCCCGGAGGUUCACCUGCCACCCAAGCCGGAGCUGCCGCCGAAACCCAAGAUGCCCACUGUUCCCGGGUUCCACCUCCCUGAGCUAGAGGCCAAUCCAUGAGAACUGCCUCGUCAAUAUUGUUGCCUUGUUGUACCUCCUCAGCUCCUUGUACAUGUACCUAUUUGUCAUGUUGUGUCGAUGAUCUGAUUGUUUAGUUGUGGUUUUCAGUGAGUGUUGUGAGUGGUCUGCUUAUAUAUUGGUAUAUAUAUGAGAAAAUAUGUUGUUCUCACAAUUCUGACAAUUACCCUUUUCUUGUAAGAGCCCUUCGUAAGUAUGCAUGCUUCCUCAUUACAACAAUUUCACAACAAGCUUUGAUUGCGACCCCAAGCCAUCCUAGCUGUAAAUUUUCUCCCGCAUCCGUCAGCGGACACGCGCGCGUGGGUGGGUGGGGGGACCAAUCUGCAGAAACGGAUGCGGGAGGACGCCAUCCAACAGUAGCUGCAUACAUCCGGCCUUCCGGUUUUUUUUCCUAGUCCGCACGAUCAAGUAGCCGCAUGCAAAGGGUACAAACAUUCAAAUAGCCGCAUGGAGCACUAGGUUCAAAUUUUAAAAAGUUCAAAUAUUACAUCUCAACAUUGUUGUCCGCUUUCACCGUCCAUUGAUGCUCAAUCAGAUCUUCCUUCAGCUGCUCGUGAGUUGGUCGAUGCCGAAUUUGUUUAUGCAUUUCAUAAACUCCUCAAAUGUGGCCGGAUUCUGUUCCGGAAGUUGGAUAGGAUCACCCAUAUUCUCAAAUUCCAGAGCUGCGGCAACAUCGUCACCCUCAUCCUCGACGAUCAUGUUGUGCAUGAUCACACAACAUGUCAUCACCUCCCACAAGGUUUCCGGAUCCCAUCAUUUAGCAGGUCCACGAACAACUGCAAAACGGGCCCACAGAACUGUAAAUGCCCUCUCGACAUCCUUUCUAGCUGCUUCUUGUCUUUGGGCAAAGUGAGCAUUUUUCUGGCUAACUAGGUUUGCUGCCAAGGGUAACCCAUGGAGGAUAGAUACUGUCAUGUUGUACUCAUGUCCAUUGACAUUAUAGUGGCAAGGAGGAGCUUUUCCUUCAGUCAACCUCGCAAACAACAACGAUCGUUACAACACAUUGAUGUCAUUGUGAGACCUGGGCAUGCCAAAGAAAGCGUGCCAAAUCCAAAGAUCCUAUGAUGCAACUACUUCAAGAAUGAUGGUGGGCUUCUUAACAUGACCCUGAUAUUGCCCUAGUAAAGCCUUCGGGCAGUUCUUCCAUUUCCAAUGCAUGUAGUCAAGAGAUCUAAGUAAACCUGGCCACCCUCUUGCUUCUGAGAUUGCCACGAGCCUCUCCGUGUCUGCCACAGUUGGUUCUUUCAUGUACUAAGGUCCGUACACCUCAACCACGGCAGUUGCAAACCUGACCAUGGCAUCUCUGCAUGUGCUCUCAGACAUCCGUAGGUACUCGUCCCACGAAUCAGCGGCUGUGCCAUAUGAAAGCAUCUGGAGUGCGCUCGUGCACUUCUGGUAACCAGAGAAGCCAAUCGUUCCCAAGACGUCCUUCUUAAGGAUUAAGUAGUCAUCAUAGGACCGGACGCCAUGAUACAAAUGAUCGAAGAUAGUCUUGCGCAUUCGAAAACGCCGACGAAAAUGGUCAGCAGAUAGUGCAUCUGGGGAAAAGUAGUUGGCCAUCAGUGGCAAAUGCCCGCGCGCCCUGUUGUGGUUGAGCACUCGAUGGCCCUUGAUCGAGCCAUUGAAAUUGAGAACAUACUUCUCCGCACGCUCCGCGUCUUCAAGGACCGCCUGCAUCAUCGCCGUCUCAUCGGAGUACUCCUCCUCGUCCGACGAGCCGUCAGACGACUCAACAUACUGCUCGUAUACGUACUGCAAAUCAGAAUCCAUUGCUAAAAAGAAGAAGGGACAUCUGUUUUAAGCUCCGGCGGUUCAUUGAACAAUUGACGGCCAUGGUAGAGGAUGACACCUGGCUGGGCGGUGGAGGAGAAGCGGCGGGGAGCCCUGCUGGAGCGCCGGAGGUUAGGGAGACGCAGAUUUUCGGCAGGGGUGUGGCAUGGUGGCCGGGGUGGCGGAGCGACGGUGAUGGCAAGAGAGAAAGAAGAAAUAAGAGAAAAUGAGGAGGAUGGAGUCGCGGGGUCCGGGAAGGGUUUUGGGUGGGCCUGGGGUGUCGGAUUUGUACGUUUGGCGUGUCCGGACUUCCGCAAAGUCCCCCCACUUUUGUCUCUGUUUUGCGGGAGAAAUAGCGCCCGAACCGCCCGGCAGACUGAUACAGGACCGCAUUGGAUGGCUUCGGCGGUCCGGAUAGCGCGGUCCGAACGAUUGCGGGAGGUUUACGAGUCCGCUUUGGAGAUGCCCUAACCCCCGAUAUUUACAACCACACACAUUGUUCUUGAGUUUGCGUCAAUAGUCUUAAUGCGGAUGAGCAAGAGGGUGCCUCAAGGGUGUCACCAAAAUCACACUGUUCUUGGGUGCAUGGGCGUGGUAGCUCACCUCCAUGUUGUAUGGGUGCUUGGUCUCUCCUUCUGUAUUUUUUUUCUUUGACUUGGUCCUUCUUUUAACUCCAAUGUCGCAUCCUUGAAAGGAAGGGGCCAACUGGUGAUUAGUACUCCCUCCGUUCGAGAAAUCUUAUUCCAAGUUUGUCCCUCAAAUAAAUGUAUCUAGCAUUAAUUUGGAGCUAGAUACAUUCAUUGAAAAGACAACUUUUUCGAACGGAGGAAGUAUAUGACUAGCAUAUGCAGCGAAUGGAAAACUAAAAGAAAGAAGCAUCCAGUGAAUGGAGGUGGCAAUGAUUUGGGUGUCAAGUGUUAACACAAACGCCGCUGGUGAGGACUGCAGGGCCACCUUUUUGUUACCUUACUCUGUUUUUUUUUCUAAGAUCCAGCAAAUUGCUGGCUUCAAUUAGAUUUAGCAGAAAGCAGCGGAAGAACAAUAUGGGGAGGAUCCGAAGAUCAAAGAAAAAGAAAAAUGGCAACCCCAUUGGCUGCAGAACAACAUUACACUUACAAGGCGAAACGCCAUCCACCCACAGCGAGACUACACAGCUCCGACUCUGGCGAAGGACUAUGGAGAAACAAAGCAAGGUUGGCAUCGCAGAAGAUCAUCAAACGGACCACCUGUCACCCGUCAUCGUACACCACCGGUGCCUCGCCCCGCAGCUUCGAUUUCACAGCAACAAGCAGCCGAGGUAAUCUUAUGGACACGUUGGAGAAGAGCCGACUACCAUGACCAAUGCCACGCCUCCGACGAUGCUCACCACCGUCAUCGUCGCCACAGAAGCCAAACCGCCCUCAUUGCCGGACGGACACAACCAAGCAGCACGAACGACAUCCCUAUCUACCACUGGUCCCUUUGGCCGGUAAGAAGCUCCUAGAACGAUGCCCAAGAGGUGCGACACACGUCGCCAUCAUCGUCCGAUCCCACGGGAUCAUGGGUUUCCCCCGAGCAUCCUUGCAUAGUGGAGCGAGCAGGAACGCCUCAGCGACGCCUUCAAGAAGGAAGCGGCGCCCGCAGACACCGUCGUCGCCUGCCCCGGCCCAAAAACCGGCAGCAAGGUCUUCACCCGGCACUGCACCUCCAACCACCAACCCGAGCCAGACCACCACCACAGGAGCCAGAUCCAACAUGACUGGUCAGAUCCGGCACCCAGUGCAUCAGCUGCAACCACCCUUGCUCGCACCAUCGGCCAUGUACCGCCGUCCACACGGUCAGCAAGCCGCCCAGCACCACCUCGCCCUGGAGCCGCUGCCUCGGCGACCUCCCACUUGCAGAUCCACGAGCACAAUGCAGACUCCCUGACAACUCCUGCCUCCACCAAACACCACCAGCACACCCACUCCCGCUGCCUCACUCGCCGGGACCAGGAUCUCGCCCGAGAAUCAGCAGGGUGCCUCCAGUGAGCACCCUGGCUGGCACCACCGGCGCUGGGCCCGCUAGGACCGUGCCCCCAUGGCCGGGGAGAGCAGAGGAGCCAUCCCGACCAGAGGAGGACGUGGCCCGAAGGCCCAGAUCCAGUCCCCCCAAACGCUGAUGUGCAGCCACCACCGAGCGCCGGCCAGGGGCGGCUCUGCCGCCAAGAGGGACGCCGCCCCUCGAGCAGCACGCGCCGGCCACCCACCGCCGGCCGGACACACGCCACCAGUACCCCGAGCGCCGCCAGAUGCGCGACCAAGGGUCGCCGACUGCAGAAACCGCCCCGCCGCCGCCUUCCCUAGGGCACGCACGGGCUUCGCCGGCGUCCCCUCCGGUGGCGGCGCAACGAGGGAGGAGAGGCGGGGUAGCCUGGCGGCGCGGCUAGGGUUGCCCCAAUUUGUUCCAAAUUCAAAAGCCAAGUAAUAAGACAACAACAAUCAAACCAACGUUACCGAGUGCUCAACUCUUAAGUUCCACACCGCAGAGCGAACACAUAGCUAGUUAAGCGAUUAAGCAGGGUUUGUAGCUAAAGUAACUAUCUUAAUAAUACUUUAGAGACAAAUAGACAACUACCAACUUCAGGACCUUGGUAAGUAGACAAGUUUAGAGACCCAAAAGGGCAUUUGAACCAGACAUUGAACUCAAAUUUUUAUUUAAUUUUCAUUGUCUCUACUAAUUGUAUCCGAUUUGGAAAAAAUUUGACAAACGGACGCGCGCGUGUUAUUCUUAUAGCAUAACCUCUCGGGUGCCGCCAGUCGUCAAGCUCGGAUGUGGGAGGAGUCGAGUUGGCAGCAGCUAGCAAUGGCAAUUGCUGAUGUACAAACUUGCCUGUGUUCUUCUACGAUCUGAUGGUCCCUUGGACAAGGCGUUCAGUCUUAGCAGCUGGCCUAACAAUUGCGUGUUUAUCCUCAACAUCAGCCGCAAAAGCCGAAGGAACUCUCUAAUCUCUCUUCACCCAAUUCGUAAGCAGGUAGCCAGUCCGAGACUAAAAAUUAAAGAGCACACAUAAAACCAUGAGCUGCAGGCGAGUAGGUGAACGGCCUCGUUUCAAAGCACUAGAUCCAAGACACUCGAUCGUUUUUUUAACUUUAUAAAUAGAACGCAGCACCUGGGGAAAUACCCUUUGGCUCUCGCAUGUAUAUACACACUAUAUGGGGUAUUUUAAUAAAUAAUUAAAUAAAAUGUCAAAAUAGUUCAAAACUAUAGGUUAAACUUGACUUACUUGCGCACUAGUAUAUAAAUUUUCACAAAAUAAAAACCAAUGUUGACUUCACAGCAAAAAAGACAGAAUUUAUUUGCUAUUGUAGGUCACUAUUCAUGCUAUUUUGAUCAAAAAUUUGUCUUUUUUGAAAAAAAGUCAAAGAGGAAUUUUUCUUUUGUGAAACUUUUUUCACUAGUAUAAUGGAAGGUCAAGUUUAUUUCAAAAAUAUUUUUAGAAUAAUUUGACUAUUUAUUGAAUUGCUAAUUUUUUUCCAUAUAUGGUAGGAACCAAACGUUCCCCUCCGCAGCACCUGCUAUCUCUCCCACAUCAAAACUACACCACAAGAGCUAGCACAACCAUUUUCACGAAAAGACGGCCCUAGAGCCGCAUUUCAUUGAUUAAUCAGGAGAGGAACAAAUACAAAGACUUUAGAGUUAGAGACUAGGUGAAAAGCCUGAAGCUGGCAUCCAGAAAAAUACAGCGAGCAGCAUUCAAGGAGGCUCAGAAAAUCUGUCAACCAGGGUAAGCCCGGCAGCCGACUAGCAUCGCGCUUCAUCCAUGAUACGUCCCAUGAGUUGUGGAACGGAGCACCUGUCGCCACUGAAAACACGGUUGUUGCGUUCUUUCCAUAUCAUCCAGGAGAUCAAGCAGAUGGCUGCCUUCCAAACUUUUUUCUCAUCCACCGGGAGCGACUGGAGCUGUGUCAUCCAGUUGGUCUUCAGAGAUAAGCAUUGAACGCUCGAGCUCACCGCUGUCGUCAGGUUUAGGAAUGGGCCGGCUAGCUUAUUGAUAGCCACCGUCCACAACUGUUUGGUGAAGCUGCAGUCCACGAGCAGAUGGUUAGCAGUCUCCGGUGCAGCGCAGCAGAGUGAGCAGACCGGGUUAUAUGGUAUGCCCCGGAUAGCCAGAUUGUCAGCCGUUAGACAUCGUCCGUGAGCAGCAAGCCAGAGGAACGUCUUGGCUCGAGGUGCCGCUUUGGCGGACCAGAUGAGCGCCUUGUCGUCGGAUUGCAGAGCACCUUCAAACUGGCAUAGGUACGCCGACUUGGCAGAGUAGUUUCCAUCAGCCGUCCAACGCCAAGUCACGGUGUCUACCACCGAGUCGCUGAAGCUUAUAGCCGCCGCCAUCUCCGAUAAGCAGCAAAGUUGUCUGAGCACCAGUGCAGAGGGGUUGGGCUUGACCAGGCGCAUCCAAAGAUUGUCUGUGAUAGCCUCACGCAGCGAUAGGCGGCGCUUGGUACAGUGUUGCAACAGCUCGGGCCAUCGGUCAAUUGGGCGCAGACCCUCUGCCCAGUGCAAAUCCCAGAAAGGGGUGGACCUGUCUUUUCCAAGAAGAUGGUUGCUCAAUUAAUAGAUAAGCGCUUGAUAUCACACAAAUGACUCAUGGAAAAUCCACACUAAACAAUCCCAUGAUAGGAGCACGAGCAAAGAGAAGACAAGUGAAGACGGUCUUCAUGGCUUAGCCUCCGGUUCCGUGAAGUGGAACUCCGGGAUGGUGGGCAUCUCUGGCUUCGGUGGCAGCAGCUCCGGCUUGGCUGGAAGGUGCACCUCCGGAAAUGUUGGCAGCUCGGGCUUGGGUGGCAGGUGCACCUCAGGGAACGCGAGCAGCUCUACCUUGAGCAACUCGGGCUUAGGUGGCGGGUGCACCUCCGGGAAUGGCGGCAGCCCGACCUUGGGCAGCGUUGGCAGCUCGGGCAGGUGCUCCUCGCCUUUGGAAGGAGUUGUCUCCUCCUCCAGAAUUCUUGCCGCGCCGCUCAUGGCGACGCACGAGAGCAGCAGUCUGACGAGGAAUACAGCGGUGUUUCUUAAAGCCAUUUUGAUGGACGACCUCGUUUCAAAUCCAUUGAUGUAUACAUAUAAUAGUGUUGAUUGCACACUUUUCCUUUUAACUUAAAAUAUUUGAAAAGCACGCUCAUGCAUGAUUCAUCCUUAUCAAUAAUUUCAAUUGGAAGUUUUUGCCCGAUAAACCACGAAAUCCAAACUCUGGCACGCAAUAUUUAGGACACAUGCAUUGUCCUUUGAGUUUGGCAUUGUUAGGCCCAAAUACUUUGUGAAUAAAGUAUGGUUUGGUUACCGUUCAGAAAUUCGGGCACCGUUCUGAAAUUCCUAGCAGUGAUAUGAACAACCUUCACGGGCAUGAAGGUAUUAAUGGGAGAUAGGUGGUAGAAAAUUCUUGGAAACCUGCCGGUUCAAGGGCUCAGACAUUGCUCAUAUUUGAUGAAUUCUCCCAGCUCGUCCGCCGCGUGAAGGAUGAGCCGCCGUCGCCCCCGCCGCACAGCCGCUACACGCAGAUUGACCGGCCGUCCUCGCCACCACGACGCCAUCGCCGCCUGAUAAAGGAGUCGUCGCCCGCGAUCGCGACGGUGCAUGACCGCAUCCUCCACUACCUCAAAGGAGGCGGAUAUGGCCGUGCCUCAGGCUCGAGGGCCGUCGUGUCCGAGGCGGAGCGCGCGGCGAGGUACGACCGGCGCAAUGCCGAUCGCCGCUCCGCGUUCGCCAAGAGCGAUGUCGCACCGGAAUGGGCCCGCAACAACCCCGACCUUGCAGCCGCGUGGGCGCUCGACCGCUCCGUCAUCACCGCGUAGACGACCGCCAAGCGCCGCCGCCACCUUGACGGCGAGCUCGCCAAGAUCGGCGAGUGGUCGCUUAGCGGCUGGUCCGCCAACGCCGGCAGGGGCAAGGUAACCGCCAGGGCCCCGCCGGCCCGUCGGCAGUGGCCAAGGCGGCCCUCCGCACCGCGCAAUAGGAGGCGGAGCUGUCGGACAAGGCUGCCGUAGCCCCCAGCAUCCUUGCGCCGCUGGAGGGACGACGACGACAGCACGGACGGCGACGACGAUGCAUCAGGACAGGCCGGCGACACUUACGAGGUGGUCGUCCGAUAUAUGAUUUUUUUAUAGUUUUUAGGAAAAUAGUCGCAAAAUCGUCUGUUUAUGUAAGUUAUAUCCAAACUUGAAUGAAUUCUGUUCGGUUUGCAUGAAUUUCGUCCGGUUAGUUUGAACCGUUGUUGAAAUGUAUGCGCGCAGCGUUGGAUGACGGCCUCCGGCAUCACUGUCUAAGGAGGGACCGGUCCUCCUUUGUCCGCGGACAGAUGUCGGAUCAAUUUUUUUCCUGAGCGGAAAUGCUGAAGCAAAUUUAGGGUUCAGCGUUGAAGAUGCCCUCAUCUCUCGAAACUCUGGAAAACCAACAUAUAAUAACAAUGUUGUGAUUCAUAUUCCGAGUUAAUUGAUAGCCUGUUAAACUCCAGGCUGGUUCUGCUUCGGCAAAAUAUGUUUGUUGACUUUUGCAUUGUUUGUUUUGUCGAACCCUUGGGCACAACGUUUCGUCUUCACGGGCAUUGUUAGGCCCAAAUAAGUGUGUCGACAACUAAUUCUGAGGCUCUGUUUGUGAAAGAGAUCUAUGACUUGCUUGCUAGUUUGGAAGUGGCUAGCCCCGGAUCUGGUAAGGUGAUUGCUUGCAUCCUGACGAACAAGGCUACAACGGCCAAAAUCGAGAAGGUGGAAAAAGCUCUUAGGAGCAUAGGCAAGAAGUGUGGCGCCAUAGGAAAGGCGUCCGCCGCUGCUUAAAUGGAUGAUCUCAAAUGUCUUCGACUGUCCCCAUGGUGGUGUCCGUUGUCUUCAGUCGAGGUGUUCCUGUUGGGUGUUCCAUUGUGUUUUAUAAGUGCAAGGGUUUGUUGUUGUGCGUUGGUUAUGUCUAUUGGAUCGAUCGUGCGGUUAUGGUGUUCCAUACUUUGUGAGUAGUUCGCAUGUGGUGUAUUUGUAUUGGUUUUCGCCCGGUUUUUCAUAAUUAACUGGGCAAUUCUCUUCUUCUUAAUUAAUCGAUGAGGCAAAACUUUUGCCUCCGUUUCAAAAAAAAAAAACGUUUCGUCUUCACAGCUGACCUAACAUUGUUGAUGUUUUGAACGGUCGUACCUGCCCUGCACGCAGCUUCACGGCGUCCACAACUGCAGCCCAAACAACCAGAGUGCUAUUUCCUGUCCCUCACCCAAAAUCUUGUGCAGAAAUGGACUCAGAAACACGUACAUUGGACAAAAGUGCAGACAAGUAGAUGAACAAACUUGUUGCAAAAUCUGUACUCUCUCCCCACGCGGCCUUUUGCACCAUAUAAGUAGUCAGCAGCCCCAGCUAUCUCUCCCACACUCAAACUGCACUGCCAGAGCUAGCCGGUGCUGCACAUGUCUAACACUAUGGCUCCGAAAAACUCAGCUGUCUUCCUCCUUGGGCUUCUUCUCUCAUGCGUAGCCAUGAGUAGUGCGGUGAGAAUCCUUGAGGAGACCAUUCCGUCCAAGAAAGAGCACCAGACCGAGGCGCCACAAAUUCCCAAGGUAGAGCUUCCACCGUUUCCGGAAGUGCACCUGCCACCUAAGCCUGAGCUUCCCGAGGUGAAGCUGCCACAGGUCCUGGAGGUGCACUUCCCACCUAAGCUUGAGCUUCCCAAGGUGGAGCUGCCGAUAGUCCCUGAGGUGCACUUGUCACCCAAGUCGGAGCUGCCCAAGGUGAGCUGCCAACAAUCCCGGAGGUUCACCUGCCACCCAAGCCGGAGAUGCCUAAGGUGGAGCUGCCACCCAAGCUCGAGAUGCCCAAGGUUCAGCGCAAGAUUUGUUUGCCCCUAUCAUUUUCCCAUUACCCAAAAAGGGUUUCCCCCGUUUUGUAUUACAAAGCAACCAACACUGAUAACAUCG